GAUUGUAGUCUGCAACCCGACUACAUGAAGCUGGAAUCGCUAGUAAUCGCGGAUCAGAAUGCCGCGGUGAAUACGUUCCUGGGUCUUGUACACACCGCCCGUCACACCAUGGGAGUCGGAAAUGCCCGAAGUCUGUGACCCAACCGCGAGGAGGGAGCAGCCGAAGGCAGGUCGGAUGACUGGGGUGAAGUCGUAACAAGGUAAC
RNAcentral lists this ribosomal RNA (205 nucleotides) under uncultured bacterium. RNAcentral's name for it is "partial 16S ribosomal RNA". It matches the Rfam family "Bacterial small subunit ribosomal RNA", at positions 1296 to 1500 of the family's 1533-position model. The record is from RNAcentral.